GGAAGUAAAAGUCGCGACAAGGUUUCCGUAGGUGAACCUGCGGAAGGAUCAUUAAAGUUAUAGUCCCCCGGCCCUCUGGGCUGGGGUCUUCUAUACCACCCUUUGUUUAUUACACCUUUGUUGCUUUGGCAGGCCUGCCCUCGGGCUGCUGGCUCCGGCCGGCUCGCGUCUGCCAGAGGACCUAAACUCUGUUUGUAUAUGAAGUCUGAGUACUAUAUAAUAGUUAAAACUUUCAACAACGGAUCUCUUGGUUCUG
Molecule: unclassified non-coding RNA, 256 nt
Filed under: plant metagenome
Description: partial contains small subunit ribosomal RNA, internal transcribed spacer 1, and 5.8S ribosomal RNA
Rfam family: Eukaryotic small subunit ribosomal RNA (bases 1-54)
Source: RNAcentral